AAAGAAUUUGGCGGUAUUUUAGUCCCGUUAGAGGAACCUGUUCUUUAAACGAUAAAACACGUAAAAUCUUACUUAAUUUUAUUAUAGUUUGUAUACCGUCAUUAUUAAAUAAUCUUGAAAGAGUUAACUAUUGAGGCUGACAGAUAAAGUUAAAUGUAUUAGAUCAAGGUGCAGCUUAUAGUUAAGUAGAAAUGGGUUACAAUAAUAUAUACAUUUAGAACGAAUUGUAAGUGGAAUUACUUAUAAAGAAGGUGGAUGUAAUUGUAAAAAUAUUUUAAUAAGAUAUUUUGAGAUAGGCUCUAAAUUAUGUACAUAUCGCCCGUCGCUCGCGGGAAA
This 336-nucleotide ribosomal RNA is filed under the name Nephropsis rosea. RNAcentral describes it as "partial 12S ribosomal RNA". It matches the Rfam family "Microsporidia small subunit ribosomal RNA", at positions 780 to 1212 of the family's 1311-position model. The record is from RNAcentral. Lineage: Eukaryota; Metazoa; Arthropoda; Malacostraca; Decapoda; Nephropidae.